AUGCUCGCUUGGACAGCACAUAUAGUAAAAUUGGAGCAAUACAGAGAAGGUUAGCAUGGCACCUGCAGAAGGAGGACACGCAAAUUCUUGAAGCGUUCCGUAUUCAA
Small nuclear RNA from Otolemur garnettii (small-eared galago), 107 nucleotides. NCBI's taxonomy places the organism in Eukaryota, Metazoa, Chordata, Mammalia, Primates, Galagidae. The record is from Ensembl.